GCCAGCAUGGCAUAGUGGUUUGAGCUUUGGACUACAACUCUGGAGACCAGCGUUCAAUUCCCAGCUCAGCCA
Molecule: transfer RNA, 72 nt
Filed under: Phrynosoma platyrhinos (Desert horned lizard)
Lineage: Eukaryota; Metazoa; Chordata; Lepidosauria; Squamata; Phrynosomatidae
Description: tRNA-OTHER
Source: RNAcentral